This is an RNA transcript of Gopherus flavomarginatus (Mexican gopher tortoise), 2211 nucleotides long. It is a transcript of the gene named tyrosylprotein sulfotransferase 1, with no coding region annotated. The record is from RefSeq and is a predicted model, not a curated record. NCBI's taxonomy places the organism in Eukaryota, Metazoa, Chordata, Testudines, Testudinidae. The transcript is spliced from 8 exons.
GGCGGGCGCUCCCCUCGGCGAUGGUGCUGGCUGGGAGCGGCGGCGGCGGCCCGGCCUCGGCGAGGGAGGAGGCAGCGGCAGGAGCCGUAGCCGUGAUCCAGCCGCCUCCCUCCUUCCCGCCUGCCCGGUCUGCUUCCCGGCGCAGCGCAGGUGUAUCCCCACUGACUUCUGUGGUAUUGCACCAAUGUAUCUGAGAGCAGAAUUUAUUUUUCUCCUUUCAACGUGUAUGCAAUGCUCCAGAGAUACGUGGAAAGACUUGACUCCUAUCUGUACUGGAUCUUGAUCAUCUUGGACUAUAAUCUCCAUGGCGUGAAAAUCUGAAGAUAAUCCGGAGUAAAAGAUUGGUUUAUUUAAAGUGACUAUUGUAUCAAAAUGGUUGGAAAACUCAAACAAAACUUGUUGUUGGCAUGUCUGGUGAUCAGCUCAGUGACAGUGUUUUAUUUGGGGCAACAUGCUAUGGAAUGUCACCACAGAAUAGAAGAACGCAGCCAGCCAGUGAGGAUGGAAAGUGGGAGAACCACAAUAAGAACUGUCUUUAACUUAAAGGCAAAUAAAACUUUUGUUUACAAUAAAGACAUGCCUUUAAUAUUUAUUGGAGGGGUGCCUCGAAGUGGCACUACACUAAUGCGUGCCAUGCUAGAUGCUCACCCCGAUAUCCGCUGUGGAGAAGAGACUAGGGUAAUCCCUCGAAUUCUGGCAGUUAAGCAGAUGUGGGCCAGAUCAAGUAAAGAGAAAAUCAGACUGGAUGAAGCUGGGGUGACAGAUGAAGUUCUGGACUCAGCCAUGCAAGCCUUUUUAUUGGAAAUCAUUGUUAAACACGGGGAACCUGCUCCCUAUUUGUGUAAUAAAGAUCCUUUUGCUCUGAAGUCCUUAACUUAUCUUGCCAGAAUUUUCCCCAAUGCCAGAUUUCUUCUAAUGGUACGGGAUGGUCGUGCAUCGGUGCAUUCCAUGAUAUCUAGAAAAGUCACCAUAGCUGGGUUUGACCUUAACAGCUACAGGGACUGUUUGACCAAGUGGAAUCGUGCCAUAGAGACUAUGUAUAACCAGUGUAUGGAGGUUGGUUUUGAAAGAUGCAUGCUGGUACACUAUGAACAACUUGUAUUACAUCCUGAAAGGUGGAUGAGAACUCUAUUAAAGUUUCUCCACAUUCCAUGGAACCAAGCAGUGCUACACCAUGAGGAAAUGAUUGGGAAAGCAGGUGGUGUGUCUCUUUCAAAAGUUGAAAGAUCUACAGAUCAAGUAAUCAAACCAGUCAACGUAGAAGCUUUGUCCAAAUGGGUUGGGAAAAUACCAUCAGAUGUUUUACAAGACAUGCCAGUGAUUGCACCAAUGUUAGCUAAACUUGGCUACGAUCCGUAUGCCAAUCCACCAAAUUAUGGAAAGCCAGAUCAAAAAGUUCUUGAAAACACACGAAGGGUCUAUAAAGGUGAAUUUCAGCUUCCUGAUUUUCUUAAAGAAAUGCCUCAGCCAAAGAAGACAGUAGAAAGGAAGUCCCGUGGCAAGAUAAAAUGAACAUGGACCAGUAAAGUAGAGUAGCUGUGGUGUCUGUUUCACGUUUUCAGAGCAUAAAACUCUUAGCUACAGAACCAGUGGAGUAGAAUAUCGAUGGACUUACCUUGCACAUAAGGUCCGUUCUACCGAGAUCAGUGAGGUGUACCGCUCAUGGCCUGCUUUUUUCGAAUCUUCUCCCAUUUGCCUUCAGACUGUGUUUUUUGUUUUGUUUGGGGCUUUUUGUUUGGUGGUUUGUUUUUGGUUUUUUGUGAGCACACUUAAACCUGUAACAAUAAAAGCACUUUUCUGAUAUGGUGAACACUUUCACUGAUGAUGAUGUACUGUGUUACAUUUAUAUAACUGUUUCUACAGUUUGAAAAUGAAAUUAAAGCAAAAUCUGGCCUAUGUUGAAACUGCUAUUCUGUCUAUAUCUUUGUUUAAUUCCAGAGCUUAAUUUUAAAGGGUUUGUAAAAAUGGUUUGUGAAACAUUUGGAAUUUAAAUGUAUGAAAUUUUGUAAAAGUGGCCUGUGCUUGUCCUCAUUUGUGUUUUUUGGUAGAACAGUUGAGCCUGUUUUCAAUUUUAUGGAUAUGGAAAUUGUUAAAUAUCUUUCUUUUAAUUAUUUAAAAAAAUCAUUUCUGAGAUGUUGAUAAAUUACAUGUACAUUUACAAUGCUGUGAUCUUUUGUAUUUUAUUUUUCAAAAUAAAUGCUUUAAAUGUGA